GAUGAAGAACGUAGCGAAAUGCGUUAAGUAAUGUGAAUUGCAGAAUUCAGUGAAUCAUCGAAUCUUUGAACGCACAUUGCGCCCGCCAGUAUUCUGGCGGGCAUGCCUGUUCGAGCGUCAUUACAACCCUCAGGCCCCCGGGCCUGGCGUUGGGGAUCGGCGGAAGCCCCCUGUGGGCACACGCCGUCCCUCAAAUACAGUGGCGGUCCCGCCGCAGCUUCCAUUGCGUAGUAGCUAACACCUCGCAACUGGAGAGCGGCGCGGCCAUGCCGUAAAACACCCAACUUCUGAAUGUUGACCUCGAAUCAGGUAGGAAUACCCGCUGAACUUAAGCAUAUCAAUAAGCGGAGGA
Molecule: unclassified non-coding RNA, 352 nt
Filed under: soil metagenome
Description: partial contains 5.8S ribosomal RNA, internal transcribed spacer 2, and large subunit ribosomal RNA
Rfam family: 5.8S ribosomal RNA (bases 1-120)
Source: RNAcentral